CAACUUUCAGCAACGGAUCNCUUGGCUCUCGCAUCGAUGAAGAACGCAGCGAAAUGCGAUANGUAAUGAGAANUGCAUAAUUCAGUGAAUCAUCNUAAUCUUUGAACGCACCUUGCGCUCCUUGGNAUUCCGAGGAGNAUGCCUGUUUGAGUGUCAUUA
RNAcentral lists this ribosomal RNA (159 nucleotides) under Dermocybe semisanguinea. RNAcentral's name for it is "5.8S ribosomal RNA". It matches the Rfam family "5.8S ribosomal RNA". From Rfam's summary of the family: 5.8S ribosomal RNA (5.8S rRNA) is a component of the large subunit of the eukaryotic ribosome. The record is from RNAcentral. Lineage: Eukaryota; Fungi; Basidiomycota; Agaricomycetes; Agaricales; Cortinariaceae.